CAGCUGUAGAGGGUAGAAUGGGGGUGGGUGAUUGGCAGUGGGGGACCUGGGAGGUUGAUAAGGAAUUCUUUGUUCUGACCCACCUAUGAAGGCAUAAUAGAGGGAGGCAGGAGGCAGAUCUUGGGCUCCCCCUAGAGGCAUCUGUGCACUCAUUCACCAAACACGGCGCCCCUAUCCGCUCUGGACACUGCCAGGUGCUGGAGGUGCAGUGCUGAGCAAGGGAUGAAGCCCCUGUCUCAUGGAGUGCAAGCUUCUCGCUAGAGGAGGCAAACAUGAAACACACUUAGACUCAGACCAAAGGAAGUUCCAGGGUGCUGUGUAGAGCCAGCUCUCCAAAGGACCUGAGCUCCCUGCUGCUGCCUUUAAACUGGGAGCCUGGGAAGAGCCAGCUGGGACUCGGAGCUACGCCAGUGGUCAGCCCAGCCACCAAGGCCAAGCUUCUAAGUCACAGAAUGAAAAGGCUUGGAAGCUGUGGGCCCUUCAUGUGGGGCUGAAGUCUUAAGACCUGGAGAGCAGCCCCAAGGGUGGAGAAGCGGCUGCUGAAGGGAUCAGCAUGCGCUGGCACAGGAAGUCUGUUUUCCAUGUGUCUGGAACCCAGCCGAAUCUUCCUGGGGUAAUUUUAACCAGUAUCCACUCUAGAACAAUACCAAAAAAGCAAGACUGUGUUGGGCUGGAGGAAAGGCAGUAAUCAACUCCAUGUUCCACAUGAGGAAACUGAAGAUCAUGGAAGGCAAGUCGAGAGCCCCAAGGUUAUCCAGCUUCAAGGUCACCAGUCACCCAGCUUCCUUCUUUCGUGCAGCCAGAUGCCCAUCCCAGUACUAGGUUGCGCUGUGGGGAUUGUGGAGUAGCUUAAGGCCUCCCUCUGCCUGCCCCACCCCCACUGUGUUUAUAUUGUUGGGAAACUUAAUCCACGGAAAUAAAGUGUGGAUUAUUUUUA
Long non-coding RNA from Pan troglodytes (chimpanzee), 937 nucleotides. RefSeq lists it as uncharacterized. NCBI's taxonomy places the organism in Eukaryota, Metazoa, Chordata, Mammalia, Primates, Hominidae. The transcript has 3 exons. The record is from RefSeq and is a predicted model, not a curated record.